AGUGAACGCUGGCGGUAGGCCUAACACAUGCAAGUCGAACGGCCGCACAGUAAGAGCUUGCUCUUACGGGUGGCGAGUGGCGGACGGGUGAGGAAUACAUCGGAAUCUACUUUUUCGUGGGGGAUAACGUAGGGAAACUUACGCUAAUACCGCAUACGACCUACGGGUGAAAGCAGGGGAUCUUCGGACCUUGCGCGAUUGAAUGAGCCGAUGGCGGAUUAGCUAGUUGGCGGGGUAAAGGCCCACCAAGGCGACGAUCCGUGGCUGGUCUGAGAGGAUGAUCAGCCACACUGGAACUGAGACACGGUCCAGACUCCUACGGGAGGCAGCAGUGGGGAAUAUUGGACAAUGGGCGCAAGCCUGAUCCAGCCAUACCGCGUGGGUGAAGAAGGCCUUCGGGUUGUAAAGCCCUUUUGUUGGGAAAGAAAAGCAGCAGGUUAAUACCCCGCUGUUCUGACGGUACCCAAAGAAUAAGCACCGGCUAACUUCGUG
RNAcentral lists this ribosomal RNA (492 nucleotides) under uncultured bacterium. RNAcentral's name for it is "partial 16S ribosomal RNA". It matches the Rfam family "Bacterial small subunit ribosomal RNA", at positions 29 to 507 of the family's 1533-position model. The record is from RNAcentral.